CAGUCUGCAACUCGACUGCAUGAAGUCGGAAUCGCUAGUAAUCGCGGAGUCAGCAUGCCGCGGUGAAUACGUUCCCGGGCCUUGUACACACCGCCCGUCACACCAUGGGAGUAGAUUGUACCAGAAGCGGCUAGCCUAACCUUCGGGAGGGCGGUUACCACGGUAUGGUUUAUGACUGGGGUGAAGUCGUAACAAGGUAGCCGUAGGGGAACCUGCGACUGGAUCACCUCCUUUAAAGAAAAGGGUCUAGACCCCACACACGCCACUCGGUAAGGAAUUGGGCCUAUAGCUCAGCUGGCUAGAGCACACGACUGAUAAUCGUGAGGUCAGUGGUUCGAGUCCACUUGGGCCCACCAAAUGGGGCUGUAGCUCAGUUGG
RNAcentral lists this ribosomal RNA (378 nucleotides) under uncultured bacterium. RNAcentral's name for it is "partial 16S ribosomal RNA". The stretch from base 1 to 234 matches the Rfam family "Bacterial small subunit ribosomal RNA", at positions 1301 to 1533 of the family's 1533-position model. The record is from RNAcentral.